Syzygium oleosum is the source of this 2710-nucleotide RNA transcript. RefSeq lists it as uncharacterized. The record is from RefSeq and is a predicted model, not a curated record. The transcript is spliced from 4 exons. NCBI's taxonomy places the organism in Eukaryota, Viridiplantae, Streptophyta, Magnoliopsida, Myrtales, Myrtaceae.
CAAGGAACCAAAGGCAAACGCAACAGAGAGAGAGAAUCUAGAAAAUGUCACAGCUUCACUUCCCCUUCCCUAUCCCUCUGAAACGCCCUUCUCUCCACCUCCGCAGGCUGACCAUGUCCUUCUCUUCCUCUUCUUCUUCCUCUUCUUCUUCUUCUCCUUCACCUUCGACGACCCACCUCAAGGACGACCCCGUCCUCGACGCUCAGAGCCUCUCGCUGGUCCUCACGUACCACGACCGGACCAAGCACGCCUUCACCAGCUACGCCAGAGGCCCCCGCGGCCUCGACUGGGCGAACCAGCCCAACCCAUUUCGCCGCUACGCCCCCGCGCCACUCCUCCCUCUCCUCCACCUUCCCGCCGACGAUCCGUCGCCGGGUCUCGACGGCCCUCCGUACUCCUCCCUGUUCCGUUCGCUCCCUCCCCCGGAACCCAUCUCCAAGGCCACCGUCUCUCGGCUGUUCUACGACUCUCUCGCGCUCUCCGCCUGGAAGACCGCGGGAUUCUCCACUUGGUCGCUCCGGGUUAACCCCAGCAGCGGCAAUUUGCACCCGACCGAAGCUUACUUGAUCGCCCCGGGCGUCGAGUCGCUGUCUGAUUCGGGUUUCGUCGCCCAUUACGCGCCGAAGGAGCAUUCCCUGGAGGUAAGAGCCGCUUUGCCAUCUGGGUUCUUUCCCAAGUUCUUUCCCGAGAAUUCUUUCCUCGUCGGUCUGAGUUCCAUCUUUUGGCGAGAGGCUUGGAAGUAUGGAGAGCGAGCCUUUAGGUAUUGUAAUCAUGAUGUGGGUCAUGCAAUUGCUGCGGUUGCGAUGGCGGCCGCGGGGCUUGGGUGGGACGUGAAGCUUCUCGAUGGGUUGAGUCAUGAGAAUGUGAAGAGGCUGAUGGGACUUCAUGUUUUCCCCGAAUUCGAAAUCCCGUCUAGGCCUGUUAAGGGGAAGAUGGUAGACAUUGAAUUUGAGCAUCCAGAUUGUGCACUAGUUGUUUUUCCUAGGGGAAUUGGUGAAUUCAAUGUGAAUUAUAGGGAAUUGAGCUCAGCUUUGUCGGAGUUUCCGAGAUUGGAAUGGAAGGGGAAGCCUAAUGUGCUUAGCAAGGAGCAUGUUUGUUGGGAUAUUAUAUAUAGAACGGCUGAGGCUGCGAAGAAACCCUUGACGGCAGGGGAUAGAUUUUCCAUUGAUCCAUUUUGUGAGAGUGAUAGUCAUAGCGAAAAUUCGUACAAGGGAUUUAGUGCUAGGGAAGUUGUAAGGAAGCGUAGAAGCGCAGUGGACAUGGAUGGAGUGACUGCAAUGGAUAGAGCCACAUUUUAUCAGAUACUGUUGCAUUGUGUUCCUUCGGGUUCUGGGAAUGGAGGAAAGCAGAAGAAACAGCUGGCAUUGCCAUAUCGAGCUCUUUCUUGGGAUGCUGAGGUGCAUGCUGCCUUGUUUGUUCACAGAGUGACCGGGUUACCGAAGGGUUUGUAUUUCUUGGUGAGGAACGAAGAUCAUUUUGAGAUGCUCAAGAAAGCUACGAGGCCUGACUUUGAGUGGGUGAGACCAGAGGGAUGCCCUCCUAGUCUUCCUUUGUAUCAACUUGCUAGAGGUGACUGUGAGCAGCUAGCAAAGCAGCUAUCAUGCCAUCAGGAUAUUGCCGGCGAUGGCUGCUUCAGCCUUGGAAUGGUGGCUCAUUUGGAGCCUGUGUUGAGUGACAAGGGCCCUUGGAUGUAUCCUCGGUUGUUUUGGGAAACUGGAGUGCUUGGCCAGAUUUUGUAUCUGGAAGCGCAUGCUGUUGGCAUAUCUGCAACUGGAAUCGGCUGCUUCUUCGAUGAUCCGGUGCACGAACUUCUUGGUCUUAAAGGGUUGAACUUCCAAAGCUUGUACCAUUUCACAGUGGGAGGCCCAGUUCUUGACAAGAGAAUAAUGAGCUUACCAGCUUAUCCUGGACCCAAGGUUGAUGCAUAAUUGUGUUUACAUGAACUCUCAACAAGAUUCCAAGGAUCCAUAUGGACGAGUUUUAUUGAUGUCCAAGGGAUAGCUUACCAUGCGCAAACCUGAGGAACAUGCUCAGGAGUUCAUUGUGGGGGCAAAAAGAGCCAGUUCAUUAAACUAAAUAAAAAUGAAGUGAAAGAAUCAUACCCUUUGUCCCGGAGCCAUGUAAUAUCACGUCAUAUGCUGAUGCGAGUGCUGCUCUGUUGGCCAGGAAGUACCUGAUAGUUGAGAUUAUUGGUAUUCAAUAAUUUAAGUCUACCACAUCAAGCCAAUCGCAUUUCAAGAAUAUAUGAGACACGCACAUGAUCCUGUUAAAUAAACACUAAUUUCCAUACAUUUCUCAGUAAUGUUAUCGGUUCUAUUUGUGACGGUAUCCCCAGUGUUCACUUGAGGUGCGUUCCCGGUGUGCAGCAGGAUAAGCGGAAACAACUCCAAAAGCCUAUUGGGGAAUAAAUUGUUACGAAUACGAUACAGUCGUUGCUCAUCACAUCUUUCAGGAAAUUUCUAGGCGGCGGGCGUGGCUCAAGGUUGGAGGGAGUCCCCGUGAUUUGGACAUUCAUAUCGAACCUGACUCAUUCGAACCAAAGUCCUCAAUUACUCAGCUUACCCUUUUUACCCUCACAUGCACACCGAGUGUAAAUCACGAGUCCGCCCGAUUCGAAUCCGUCUGAUAAGCCGGUUUCGAUUUCAGUGCAUCUCACUCAAAACAUCACAUGAGGGAGGUGCCUCACCUUGCAGACGAACCAUCUUUUUAU